This 910-nucleotide ribosomal RNA is filed under the name Pseudohydnum gelatinosum. RNAcentral's name for it is "partial large subunit ribosomal RNA". It matches the Rfam family "Eukaryotic large subunit ribosomal RNA", at positions 72 to 969 of the family's 3401-position model. The record is from RNAcentral. Lineage: Eukaryota; Fungi; Basidiomycota; Agaricomycetes; Auriculariales.
GGAUUCCCCUAGUAACGGCGAGUGAAGCGGGAAAAGCUCAAAUUUGAAAUCUGGCGGUCUACGGCCGUCCGAGUUGUAGUCUAGAGAGGUGUCUUCUGCGUCGGACCAUGCGCAAGUCCCUUGGAACAGGGCGUCAUAGAGGGUGAGAAUCCCGUCCGUGGCAUGGACUCCCGGUGCUUUGUGAUGCGCCUUCGAAGAGUCGAGUCGUUUGGGAAUGCAGCUCAAAAUGGGUGGUAAAUUCCAUCUAAGGCUAAAUACAGGCGAGAGACCGAUAGCGAACAAGUACCGUGAGGGAAAGAUGAAAAGCACUUUGGAAAGAGAGUUAAACAGUACGUGAAAUUGUUGAAAGGGAAACGCUUGGAGUCAGUCGCGUUUGCCGGGACUCAGCCUUGCUUCUGCUUGGUGCACUUCCUGGUACACGGGCCAGCAUCGAUUUUGAUCGCCGGAAAAAGGCUUGGGGAAGGUGGCACCUUCGGGUGUGUUAUAGCCCCUUGUUGUAUACGGUGGUUGGGAUUGAGGACCGCAGCACGCCUUUUGGUCGGGGUUCGCCCACGCCACGUGCUUAGGAUGCUGGCGUAAUGGCUUUAAACGACCCGUCUUGAAACACGGACCAAGGAGUCUAACAUGCCUGCGAGUGUUUGGGUGUAAAACCCAGGCGCGUAAUGAAAGUGAAAGGUUGGGACUCUUCGCUGAGGCACCGACGCCCGAUCCUGACGUUCUCUGACGGAUUUGAGGUAGAGCAUGUAUGUUGGGACCCGAAAGAUGGUGAACUAUGCCUGAACAGGGCGAAGCCAGAGGAAACUCUGGUGGAGGCUCGUAGCGAUUCUGACGUGCAAAUCGAUCGUCAAAUUUGGGUAUAGGGGCGAAAGACUAAUCGAACCAUCUAGUAGCUGGUUCCUGCCCGAAGUUU